Long non-coding RNA from Eubalaena glacialis (North Atlantic right whale), 2199 nucleotides. RefSeq lists it as uncharacterized. The record is from RefSeq and is a predicted model, not a curated record. The transcript is spliced from 4 exons. Lineage: Eukaryota; Metazoa; Chordata; Mammalia; Artiodactyla; Balaenidae.
AGGAGUUGCCCCCGAGAUCGGACACUGGAGAGCAGGCGUCUUCUGUCGCGUAAAGUAAGGCCGGUCUCCGGCCACCUGGCGGGGCGGAUGACAACAGCGUCCUUGUAGGCAGGCUGGCUGGAGUGUCGGGCUUCAGGAGACGCGGAGGGGAACCGGAGUAGAGAUAUAUGAGCUUUUUGAAAGCAGAACACUGUUGUUUCCAUGUUCUGAUCAUUCAGAGAUUGUGAAGGCACAGUUCCUGCCUUUUAUUUGCUUACAGUCAAGCGGAGUAGACACAGGUCAUGGUGGCAGUAUAGCCCCUUAAGUAUUCUGAAGGAGAUUUAUCAGCAGGUUGCAGGUGAACAUGGCCUUGAGGUGGAGUCAUUUACUCUGCAUCUUGACUGGUAAGCAUGAAAAUGCUGUGUGUGCAGAGCUUUAAGUGGCAACUGGAAACUUGAACUGGAGAACCAGAAAUGCAGCCAAGGGAGCUGGGCAUCGAGGUCACAAAAUCGCAUGAGAGCAGUGAGGCAGGAUGCCCAAAGGUGCUGGCUGGAGACCACCUCUUCUACCAGGGCUCAGCUUUGCACUUGGUGGACUGAUAUUUUCUCUUAAAAGAUUGUUGUGCAUUUGCUAUAUGUCAUACACUGUUAUGCAUUCUCAUGUUUGUCAUUAAAUCUCCCAUCCUAUAAGACAUCCUAUAAGAGAAACAGAAGCUCAGGGAGAUAAUGUGACUUUUCAAUGGUUGUAAGGCAAAGUCGCUACAAAAUAGCAAUCAAACUCAGGUCUUCUGAUUUCAAAUCUGGUUCUCUUUGCAUUAUAGGACAGUUCCUAGAAUCAGUUGCAACUAAUGUUGUCUAUUUUUUACCAGACCUUAGCCCCCCUACCCCAAACGUGCACAUAGUGAAAGCAACACAUUUAUUAUUAUUUAUGUGGAGGCUGCUGUGUGACACCAGGAAGCAUGUAGUAGUAGGUAAUGUUGCAUUUUUACCAGUCUUGCCAUCUAGCCACAGUUGCCCCUCUCUUCCUUCAUACUGCCUCCCCUCAGGUUUGUCCCUCUCCUGCCAUAGGUCUUCUGCUAUAGUUUGAACAAGCCCUGCCAUCCCUCACAUGGAGAGCAGUGAGAGGCCGAAGAGCAGUGGCUGGAUGAAACAAAUAUUUGGUGUGCACGUGUUAGCCCUUGGGGAUUGAGUGAUGAACAAGACAGAUACUGUCCUGCCUUCAUGGAAUUAGGUGUUACAAAGAUCAUUUCAAAAUUAAAGGGGGUAAGUACCAUGAGGGAGAGGAGCAGGUUUUUAGAAACAGUGUUCGGUGGGAGAAACCUCACCGGAGUGCCACUGACUGCUGGGAAAACAGGAGAGGAGAAGGCUGCUGAGCACGGCACGUGGCUUCCCUGGUUCUCUUUGUGGGUGGCCUCCUGCCUUCUUACGCCUGUUCUUGGCUGACUAAUGAAAUGUCACAAGUGCUGGGGUGGCUGGAGCCACUAACACUUAUGUAUCUCUUCCCUCCUUCUCCCCCAAGCUCUGUAGGCCUUGGGGACUCAGAUACUUUGCAUAUACACAGAUAGACCAAUACAGUUUGACAACCUGAAAGACCUUUGAGUUCAUUUAGUCUGAGCCUUCAUUUUACAGCCAGAACUGACUAACCUAGCAUCACACAGGUGGCAGCACACAGAAUCCAAGUCAGGUGAAAUGAAUGCCAGCACACCAGUCUGGCAGAUAAUAACAUGAACCAUAAAUGAUGAGCUGGGUGCAUGGUGCUUGAAUGCUAAGUUCAGGCAGCUGAGGCGUGAGUGGCUGGGAGAGGGGUAGGUACGGAAGAGAGACAGGAAGCUGGGCAUCAGAAUGGUCUAAUAGAAAGUGACGCACUUUGGCAUUGAAAUGCCAUUGUGUAUCUUUAGACAUCCAGGCUUUUCCAAAGAAAAACAGGGAUGCACAAAUUGGGGAAGCUGACAACUGAACGUGUACAGAUGCUGAGAAAUGUCCACGUUGAAAAAUGACAAUUUUGAAUUUUCAUAGUCUAAUAGAAUGCCAAUCUUCCUUGGGGAAACGGUUAUCCUUAUAUCUGGAGUCGUCUUGUGUAGAAAUUCAUACUUAUGCCUAAAGAUUAAAUGUUGAUAUAACAAAGCUUCAGAAAUUCUGUAGAUGGGCUAUUUACAGAACAUUUCAAUUUUCAAAUACUCCUAUGAUUAUAUCAUUUUCUUUUAUUAAAUGACUAUCAAAG